This 254-nucleotide ribosomal RNA is filed under the name uncultured bacterium. RNAcentral's name for it is "partial 16S ribosomal RNA". It matches the Rfam family "Bacterial small subunit ribosomal RNA", at positions 524 to 776 of the family's 1533-position model. The record is from RNAcentral.
CACGUAGGGACCAAGCGUUGUCCGGAUUUAUUGGGCGUAAAGAGCUCGUAGGCGGUUCGGUAAGUCGGGUGUGAAAACUCUGGGCUCAACUCGGAGAGGCCACCCGAUACUGCCGUGACUUGAGUACGGUAGGGGAGCACGGAAUUCCUGGUGUAGCGGUGAAAUGCGCAGAUAUCAGGAGGAACACCGGUGGCGAAGGCGGCACGCUGGACCUUUUCUGACGCUGAGGCGCGAAAGCCAGGGGAGCAAACGGG